AGAGAGAGACAUGCGCGCAUAUCAAUAAGCGGAGGAAAAGAAACUAACAAGGAUUCCCCUAGUAACGGCGAGUGAAGCGGGAAGAGCUCAAAUUUGAAAUCUUAAAGGGUUUCCCUUUACGAAUUGUAGUUUAAAGAAGUGUUUUCUGUUGAGGUUUUGGUAAAAGUUCUUUGGAAUAGGACAUCAUAGAGGGUGAGAAUCCCGUAUUUGACCUUUACUUUCAACUUUGUGAUACACUUUCAAAGAGUCGGAUUGUUUGGGAAUGCAGUCCAAAAUGGGUGGUAAAUUUCAUCUAAAGCUAAAUAUUGGCGAGAGACCGAUAGCGAACAAGUACCGUGAGGGAAAGAUGAAAAGAACUUUGAAAGAGAGUUAAACAGUACGUGAAAUUGUCAAAAGGGAAGCGUUUGACACCAGUGUUGUUUUUCUGAAAAUCAAUUAAAGAACUGUUUAUGCUAAGUUGUUUAGACUUUAUCAGCUAACUGUUUAGUUUUGAGCUUUUCUUUAAUGCACUUUUCAGUUAACAAGUCAACAUCAAUUUCUUUUGCUGUAAAAAAGCUUGAGGAAGGUGGCUUGAGAUUCGUCUUAAGUGUUUAUAGCCUCUUGCCUAUGCAGUCGGAGAGAUUGAGGUCUGCAGCGUAGAUCCUUCGGGGCUAAAUGCAUUUGUGCUAAGUUAUAGCAUUUUAUAGACAACUUGUUGACUAUGAUUUGUCUUGUAGCUUACUCGCUUAUGUUAUUUUACCUACGCUUAGGAUGUUGAGCGCAUGUCUCUCUCU
This 773-nucleotide ribosomal RNA is filed under the name uncultured Neocallimastigales. RNAcentral describes it as "partial large subunit ribosomal RNA". It matches the Rfam family "Eukaryotic large subunit ribosomal RNA", at positions 23 to 616 of the family's 3401-position model. Lineage: Eukaryota; Fungi; Neocallimastigomycota; Neocallimastigomycetes; Neocallimastigales. The record is from RNAcentral.